Molecule: long non-coding RNA, 610 nt
Filed under: Anas platyrhynchos platyrhynchos (common mallard)
Lineage: Eukaryota; Metazoa; Chordata; Aves; Anseriformes; Anatidae
Description: lncRNA (ENSAPLG00000027208.1)
Source: RNAcentral
GGUGAGCAGUCAGCUCCCAGGCCUGGAGGUUUGGGGUGCAAUUGGGACGUUCUCCCAGAGCCCCCAUGAUGGUGGUUCCCUGGCUCCGGGGAGGAGGUGUGGGCACAGAGCCCUCCUGGUCUGUACAGCUGCAGGAACCUUAAAUGCGUGUGCACAUUUAAGCCACCUUUAAAUGCACUCUGUGACUAGGGCCAUGGUCGGGUGAGGUUCACGUUACACAGCUUGUGCUCGGCUCUGCCAGCCUGAGUGGACAGCAGCGAUGCCCCAGCACCACAGCGAACAGGCACAAGCCCUCAGGACCACAAUGAUGGGCUCAAGACGAUGUCUCCUGGAGCCCUGCGUGUCUCUCCAGGCUCUGCUCACCCUAAACAGCCUCACCUGGGCUUGCUGCCACCCACCCACCUCCAACCCUUGGCCUGGGGCUGUAUUUAAGCUCCCAGCUCUGCUCCUUGCCCUGGUUGGGUUGUGCUUGGUUGUGCUUUGUGGUUGCCUCUGGAGCUGCCUCCUCACUGUGAGGGGUGUUCCUGAGGACUGUCACCAGCCCAGAACCAGCCCUGCUUGGCUCCUGCCUUCCUGCAGCUGCUCCUUGGUGUUUCGUCCCCAGUCAUGA